This 500-nucleotide ribosomal RNA is filed under the name uncultured bacterium. RNAcentral's name for it is "partial 16S ribosomal RNA". It matches the Rfam family "Bacterial small subunit ribosomal RNA", at positions 30 to 523 of the family's 1533-position model. The record is from RNAcentral.
AUUGAACGCUGGCGGAAUGCUUGACACAUGCAAGUCGAACGGCAGCACGGACUUCGGUCUGGUGGCGAGUGGCGAACGGGUGAGUAAUGUAUCGGAACGUGCCCAGUCGUGGGGGAUAACGUAGUGAAAAUUACGCUAAUACCGCAUACGAUCUAUGGAUGAAAGCGGGGGAUCGCAAGACCUCGCGCGAGUGGAGCUGCCGAUAUCAGAUUAGGUAGUUGGUGGGGUAAAGGCCCACCAAGCCAACGAUCUGUCGCUGGUGUGAAAGGACAACCAAGCAAACUGGAACUGAGACACGGUCCAGACUCCUACGGGAGGCAGCAGUGGGGAAUUUUGGACAAUGGGCGAAAGCCUGAUCCAGCCAUUCCGCGUGCAGGAUGAAGGCCCUCGGGUUGUAAACUGCUUUUGUACAGAACGAAAAGGUUUCUACUAAUACUAGGAGCUCAUGACGGUACUGUAAGAAUAAGCACCGGCUAACUACGUGCCAGCCGCCGCCGUAA